CUAAAUAGGCAAUGAUGUUUAACUGGUGGGAGGGGCUAAACAGACAGUGAUGUAGAACUGGUGGGCGGGGCUAAACAGGCAGUGAUGUAGAAUUGAAAACAGGUAGUGAUGUAGAAUCAGUGGGUGGGGCUAAACAGGCAGUGAUGUAGAACUGGUGGGCGGGGCUAAACAGGCAGUGAUGUUGAAUUGAAAACAGGUAGUGAUGUAGAAUCAGUGGGUGGGGCUAAACAGGCAGUGAUGUAGAACUGGUGGGCGGGGCUAAACUGGCAGUGAUGUAGAAUCAGUGGGUGGGGCUAAACAGGUAGUGAUGUAGAACUGGUGGGCGGGGCUAAACAGGCAGUGAUGUAGAACUGGUGGGCGGGGCUAAACUGGCAGUGAUGUAGAAUCAGUGGGUGGGGCUAAACAGGCAGUGAUGUAGAACUGGUGGGCGGGGCUAAACAGGCAGUGAUGUUGAAUUGAAAACAGGUAGUGAUGUAGAAUCAGUGGGUGGGGCUAAACAGGUAGUGAUGUAGAACUGGUGGGCGGGGCUAAACAGGCAGUGAUGUAGAACUGGUGGGCGGGGCUAAACUGGCAGUGAUGUAGAAUCAGUGGGUGGGGCUAAACAGGCAGUGAUGUAGAAUCGAAAACCAGUAGUGAUGUAGAAUUGGUGGGCGGGGCUAAACAGGCAGUGAUGUAGAAGCAAGUGUUGAUGUUCUGUGGAGGCGAGGCUUAUCCACACUAAUACAUCAUAAC
Molecule: long non-coding RNA, 732 nt
Organism: Carassius gibelio (silver crucian carp)
Lineage: Eukaryota; Metazoa; Chordata; Actinopteri; Cypriniformes; Cyprinidae
Exons: 6
Source: RefSeq, a predicted model, not a curated record